UUGGAGGGCAAGUCUGGUGCCAGCAGCCGCGGUAAUUCCAGCUCCAAUAGCGUAUAUUAAAGUUGUUGCAGUUAAAAAGCUCGUAGUUGAAUUUCGGGGUCAGUAGGUCGGUCGUGCCACUGGUAUGAACUGGUUUUACUGAUUCCUCCCUCUUGAAGAACUGUAAUGCCAUUAAUUUGGUGUUGCAGGGAAUCAGGACUGUUACUUUGAAAAAAUUAGAGUGUUUAAAGCAGGCUUUAGCUUGAAUACAUUAGCAUGGAAUAAUGAAAUAGGACGUUUGAUCCUAUUUUGUUGGUUUCUAGGAUUGACGUAAUGAUUAAUAGGGAUAGUUGGGGCAUUAGUAUUCAAUUGUCAGAGGUGAAAUUCUUGGAUUUAUUGAAGACUAACUACUGCGAAAGCAUUUGCCAAGGAUGUUUUCAUUAAUCAAGAACGAAAGUUAGGGGAUCGAAGACGAUCAGAUACCGUCGUAGUCUUAACCAUAAACUAUGCCGACUAGGGAUCGGAUGAUGUUAAUUUUUUAAUGACUCAUUCGGCGCCUUACGGGAAAC
RNAcentral lists this ribosomal RNA (548 nucleotides) under uncultured Glomeromycotina. RNAcentral describes it as "SSU rRNA". It matches the Rfam family "Eukaryotic small subunit ribosomal RNA", at positions 548 to 1098 of the family's 1831-position model. Lineage: Eukaryota; Fungi; Glomeromycota. The record is from RNAcentral.